AGAGUUUGAUCCUGGCUCAGAACGAACGCUGGCGGCGUGCUUAACACAUGCAAGUCGCGUGCGCAGUUCCUGUAGCAAUACAGGGAUGGGCGCACGGCGCACGGGUGCGUAACACGUGGGCAAUCUGCCCUUUGAUGGGGAAUAACCCGCCGAAAGGCGGGCUAAUUCCGCAUAAGAUUCCCGGAACUUCGGUUCUGGGAUUGAAAGCAGCAAUGCGUCGAAGGAGGAGCCCGCGCCCGAUUAGCUAGUUGGUGAGGUAACGGCUCACCAAGGCUAUGAUCGGUAGCUGGUCUGAGAGGAUGAUCAGCCACACUGGAACUGAGACACGGUCCAGACUCCUACGGGAGGCAGCAGUGGGGAAUCUUGCACAAUGGGCGAAAGCCUGAUGCAGCGACGCCGCGUGGGGGAUGAAGCAUUUCGGUGUGUAAACCCCUUUCGACUGGGACGAAUGCCUCGCAAGAGGAGUGACGGUACCAGUAGAAGAAGCCCCGGCUAACUACGUGCCAGCAGCCGCGGUAAGACGUAGGGGGCCAGCGUUGUUCGGAAUUACUGGGUGUAAAGGGUUCGUAGGCGGUGCGGCAAGUUGGGAGUGAAAUCUUUGGGCUCAACCCAGAGGCUGCUUCCAAAACUGCUGUGCUCGAGUGUGAGAGAGGCGCGUGGAAUUGCAGGUGUAGCGGUGAAAUGCGUAGAUAUCUGCAGGAACACCCGUGGCGAAAGCGGCGCGCUGGAUCACUACUGACGCUGAGGAACGAAAGCUAGGGGAGCAAACAGGAUUAGAUACCCUAGUAGUCC
This 792-nucleotide ribosomal RNA is filed under the name uncultured bacterium. RNAcentral's name for it is "bacterial SSU rRNA". It matches the Rfam family "Bacterial small subunit ribosomal RNA", at positions 8 to 796 of the family's 1533-position model. The record is from RNAcentral.